AUUGAACGCUGGCGGCAUGCCUUACACAUGCAAGUCGAACGGUAACGGGCCUUCGGGUGCCGACGAGUGGCGAACGGGUGAGUAAUGUAUCGGAACGUACCAUUGAGUGGGGGAUAACGUAGCGAAAGUUACGCUAAUACCGCAUAUUCUCUCCGGACGAAAACAGGGGACCGCAAGGCCUUGCGCUCUUUGAGCGGCGGAUAUCAGAUUAGAUAGUUGGUGGGGUAAAAGCUCACCAAGGCGACGAUCUGUAGGGGGUCUGAGAGGAUGAUCCGCCACACUGGAACUGAGACACGGUCCAGACUCCUACGGGAGGCAGCAGUGGGGAAUUUUGGACAAUGGGGACAACCCUGAUCCAGCCAUGCCGCGUGAGUGAAGAAGGCCUUCGGGUUGUAAAGCUCUUUCAGCCGGGAAGAAAUCGCAUGGGCUAAUACCCCGUGCGGAUGACGGUACCGGAAUAAGAAGCACCGGCUAACUACGUGCCAGCCGCCGCCGUAA
RNAcentral lists this ribosomal RNA (498 nucleotides) under uncultured bacterium. RNAcentral's name for it is "partial 16S ribosomal RNA". It matches the Rfam family "Bacterial small subunit ribosomal RNA", at positions 30 to 523 of the family's 1533-position model. The record is from RNAcentral.